This 229-nucleotide ribosomal RNA is filed under the name uncultured bacterium. Its description in RNAcentral is "partial 16S ribosomal RNA". It matches the Rfam family "Bacterial small subunit ribosomal RNA", at positions 111 to 334 of the family's 1533-position model. The record is from RNAcentral.
UAACACGUGGGUAACCUGCCCUGAUGAUUGGGACAACCCGAGGAAACUCGGGCUAAUACCGAAUGUGCCCUCCGACCACAAGGUCGCUGGGGAAAGGAAGCUUCGGCCUCCGCAUCGGGAUGGGCCCGCGGCCCAUUAGCUUGUUGGUGAGGUAACGGCUCACCAAGGCUGCGAUGGGUAGCUGGUCUGAGAGGACGAUCAGCCACACUGGGACUGAGACACGGCCCAG